Molecule: ribosomal RNA, 345 nt
Filed under: Candidatus Merdivivens faecigallinarum
Lineage: Bacteria; Pseudomonadati; Bacteroidota; Bacteroidia; Bacteroidales; Muribaculaceae
Description: bacterial SSU rRNA
Rfam family: Bacterial small subunit ribosomal RNA
Source: RNAcentral
ACAAUGAAGAGUUUGAUCCCGGCUCAGGAUGAACGCUAGCGGCAGGCCUAACACAUGCAAGUCGAGGGGCAGCGGGCCGGUCAGCGAUGACCGGUGCCGGCGACCGGCGGAAGGGUGCGUAACGCGUGAGCGACAUGCCCCGCACCGGGGGACAACCUCUGGAAACGGAGACUAAUACCCCAUGUAGCGGGAGGGGGGCAUCCCCCUCCCGCCAAAGCUUCGGCGGUGCGGGAUUGGCUCGCGUGGCAUUAGCUAGACGGCGGGGUAACGGCCCACCGUGGCGAUGAUGCCUAGGGGUCCCGAGAGGGAGGCCCCCCACACUGGGACUGAGACACGGCCCAGACU